AUAAUUACCUGGUAGGGGAGACACCAUAAUCACGAAGGUGGUUUUCCCAGGGUGAGGCUUAUCCAUUGCACCCCAGAUGUGCUUGCCUCUACAAUUUCCCCAAAUGUGGGAAACACAAUUUGUGGUAGUGGGGGACUGUGUUCACACUCUCCCCUG
Lepus europaeus (European hare) is the source of this 156-nucleotide small nuclear RNA. RefSeq annotates it as U1 spliceosomal RNA. The transcript has a single exon. The record is from RefSeq and is a predicted model, not a curated record. NCBI's taxonomy places the organism in Eukaryota, Metazoa, Chordata, Mammalia, Lagomorpha, Leporidae.